UAUAUGCUUUGGAGCUCGAUUAAGUGAA
Molecule: non-coding RNA, 28 nt
Filed under: Mus musculus (house mouse)
Lineage: Eukaryota; Metazoa; Chordata; Mammalia; Rodentia; Muridae
Source: RNAcentral